This 253-nucleotide ribosomal RNA is filed under the name uncultured bacterium. Its description in RNAcentral is "partial 16S ribosomal RNA". It matches the Rfam family "Bacterial small subunit ribosomal RNA", at positions 524 to 776 of the family's 1533-position model. The record is from RNAcentral.
UACGUAGGGUGCGAGCGUUAAUCGGAAUUACUGGGCGUAAAGCGUGCGCAGGCGGUUUUGUAAGCCAGAUGUGAAAUCCCCGGGCUUAACCUGGGAAUGGCAUUUGGGACUGCAAGGCUCGAGUGCGGCAGAGGAGACUGGAAUUCCUGGUGUAGCAGUGAAAUGCGUAGAUAUCAGGAGGAACACCGAUGGCGAAGGCAGGUCUCUGGGAUAACACUGACGCUCAUGCACGAAAGCGUGGGGAGCAAACAGG